GAUCAACGCUGGCGGCGUGCCUAAUGCAUGCAAGUCGGACGGGCUGCCUUCGGGCAGUCACGUGGCGGACGGGUGCGUAACACGUGGGGAACCUGCCCCGAGGUGGGGGAUAUCCGUCGGAAACGGCGGGCAAUCCCGCAUGAGAUCGGCUCGCGCAGGCGGGUCGAGGAAAGCCGCGAGGCGCCUUGGGAGGGUCCUGCGGCCGAUUAGGUAGACGGCGGGGUAACGGCCCACCGUGCCGAUGAUCGGU
This 250-nucleotide ribosomal RNA is filed under the name uncultured bacterium. Its description in RNAcentral is "partial 16S ribosomal RNA". It matches the Rfam family "Bacterial small subunit ribosomal RNA", at positions 28 to 284 of the family's 1533-position model. The record is from RNAcentral.